CAUUAAGUGACUGAAGUUUAAGUAAUGGUCUCUUAAACCAAUUUAUAGCAGAAAAAAAAAAUGCUCUUAAUGA
This 73-nucleotide transfer RNA is filed under the name Malaxella flava. RNAcentral describes it as "tRNA-Lys". Lineage: Eukaryota; Metazoa; Arthropoda; Insecta; Hemiptera; Delphacidae. The record is from RNAcentral.